Molecule: non-coding RNA, 147 nt
Filed under: Chromobacterium amazonense
Lineage: Bacteria; Pseudomonadati; Pseudomonadota; Betaproteobacteria; Neisseriales; Chromobacteriaceae
Description: TPP sequence
Rfam family: TPP riboswitch aptamer (THI element)
About the family: Vitamin B(1) in its active form thiamin pyrophosphate (TPP) is an essential coenzyme that is synthesised by coupling of pyrimidine and thiazole moieties in bacteria. The previously detected thiamin-regulatory element, thi box was extended, resulting in a new, highly conserved RNA secondary structure, the THI element, which is widely distributed in eubacteria and also occurs in some archaea. Analysis of operon structures identified a large number of new candidate thiamin-regulated genes, mostly transporters, in various prokaryotic organisms.
Source: RNAcentral
CAGCAUCGCUAGGGGUCCUGCCCCCGGCGUCCGUCGCAAGGGCUACCCCAGUGUAGUCCGUCGAGACGGGCGGCGGGAUGCGGGUGAGAAAUACCCUUGGAACCUGACCCGGAUAAUACCGGCGUAGGGAAGCGUCAACUGCCCUCA